This 434-nucleotide ribosomal RNA is filed under the name uncultured bacterium. RNAcentral's name for it is "bacterial SSU rRNA". It matches the Rfam family "Bacterial small subunit ribosomal RNA", at positions 958 to 1392 of the family's 1533-position model. The record is from RNAcentral.
AACGCGAAGAACCUUACCUACUCUUGACAUCCAGAGAACUUUCCAGAGAUGGAUUGGUGCCUUCGGGAACUCUGAGACAGGUGCUGCAUGGCUGUCGUCAGCUCGUGUUGUGAAAUGUUGGGUUAAGUCCCGCAACGAGCGCAACCCUUAUCCUUUGUUGCCAGCGGUUCGGCCGGGAACUCAAGGGAGACUGCCAGUGAUAAACUGGAGGAAGGUGGGGAUGACGUCAAGUCAUCAUGGCCCUUACGAGUAGGGCUACACACGUGCUACAAUGGCGUAUACAAAGAGAAGCGACCUCGCGAGAGCAAGCGGACCUCAUAAAGUACGUCGUAGUCCGGAUUGGAGUCUGCAACUCGACUCCAUGAAGUCGGAAUCGCUAGUAAUCGUAGAUCAGAAUGCUACGGUGAAUACGUUCCCGGGCCUUGUACACACCG